RNAcentral lists this long non-coding RNA (474 nucleotides) under Monodelphis domestica (gray short-tailed opossum). RNAcentral describes it as "lncRNA (ENSMODG00000031090.2)". Lineage: Eukaryota; Metazoa; Chordata; Mammalia; Didelphimorphia; Didelphidae. The record is from RNAcentral.
GCUCUGGGUUUCAUAGUCACUAAAAUCUUGUUAGGAUUUGAAUUCAAUUCUUGCUGAUUCCUAAUCUAACACUCAAUCCAUUGCUCUGGUUAGCUGCCUCUAAUACUUCUCCACUUUCUCUACAUAGAGGAAAUAUUCAAAGGAAAACAUAGCAUAUUUUGGACAUGAUGACUGUGAGGUCACUUAAAUGCAGUAGAGAAGAACCUUUAAGUUGAAGGAUCCUUGGGAUGUUAAGGGAAGGAGCCCCAGCUUAGAAUCAAAGGACAUGGAUUCAAAUUUCAACUCUGCUUGAUACUUAAAUGCACCGAGGUUACAUGCAGAGAAGAUGAAUCAGGGAUUCUGGAGAAGCAAGAACAACCUGGCGAUUGAGAGUCAUCUGCGGCGGUCCAGGACAGUCAUCUCUGCAUUCCCAACACUGUUGCAUGGCUUCUGGUAAUGAAACAGAAAAAAAUUAGAGAUGAGGAUGAUCCAAAG